UAGUCAUAUGCUUGUCUCAAAGACUAAGCCAUGCAUGUCUAAGUAUAAACACUUUUAUACUGCGAAACUGCGAACGGCUCAUUAAUCAGUUAUAAUCUACUUGAUCGUAUCCUCUUACUUGGAUAACCGUAGUAAUUCUAGAGCUAAUACAUGCGAAGAAUCCUGACUGUGGUGACAUGGAAUGGAUGUAUUUAUUAGGUACAAAAUCAAUGUUAGUCAUUCCAAACUGUAGUUGUAAAAGGCUAUGGGGCUAACUUUUUUUGAUGAUUCAUAAUAA
RNAcentral lists this ribosomal RNA (277 nucleotides) under uncultured eukaryote. RNAcentral's name for it is "partial 18S ribosomal RNA". It matches the Rfam family "Eukaryotic small subunit ribosomal RNA", at positions 21 to 259 of the family's 1831-position model. The record is from RNAcentral.